GCCCCUUUAGUUAAAUGGUAUAACGGUUGAUUUGUAAUCAUCAAUUGGCAGUUCGAUUCUGUCAAGGGGCACCA
Molecule: transfer RNA, 74 nt
Filed under: bacterium
Lineage: Bacteria
Also listed under: 1 other name
Description: tRNA-Thr
Rfam family: tRNA
About the family: Transfer RNA (tRNA) molecules are approximately 80 nucleotides in length.
Source: RNAcentral